UAGCAUAAAUAAAUAUUGAGUUAAAUUUUGAAAGAUUAAAAGGUUGAAUACAUAAUUAUUAAUGGUUAUUAGACUUUUAAUUCAAUAAGUUACAUAAUCCAAGCACAUAUUUGUCUUUAAAAAAAACCCAAUGUAAUUACAGUGAAAUUUGCUACAAAUGGGAAUAGGUUCCUAAUGACCAAAACCAAGCAAUUAGGAUGAAAUCACUUUGGACUUAGUCACGAAAACAGGUUGUCUUGAAGCUUGUAGCAGCCACCUUCCAUUACAUCAAGUCUCUUCAAACCUGUAAUCUGCAGAAAACAAAAAUAGCUUAUUUUAAAAGCACUUUUCAAAAGCACUUAGAAAGCUGAAAAACAACUAAAUGAAUCAUUCAGUUUGAAGCUUUAUCCAUAAGGUUAAUCUAAAUAUCCAAAAAGCACUUUUAACAUUAGCUUAAAAUAGAAAAAACCAAAUCCCACAUAAUCUGGGAUGAGACAAAUUGAAAAAGAAAAGAGUUUUUAAAGUCUGAAUCUUGUCUUCAAAAAUGGAUUAGGAGAGGUUAACAGGAACACAACACAGUAAGAAAUUAUUUCUAAAAAAAAAACCAAAACAACAACAGCAACAACACAGAGAUUUUUUCUAAAACCCUAAAGAACACAACAGCAAGAACAGAUCAAUUUUUUCUAAGAGCCCUAAAAAGUUAACAGCAAGAGGAUACACAACAAAGAUAUUUUUCUCAAAACCCUAAACCAGUACACAACAGAAAACGCACAGCAAGAACAGCAACAGAGAGCAAUAUUUUCAAAAAAGCCCUAAAAAAAAACCGAAACAGAAGAAGGAGGCUUAUUUGAAGACGGGACGCAUCAAACUCAGCGUCAUCUUCUUCUUCUUCCAACGAAUCCUUCCAAACCUCCAACGAGCACCCUCACAAAACCACAAUUUCUCCGUCGGCCACAAUCAACCUUCAAUCGCUCCUCACCGGCGCAACCUCCAUGACGGCUUCAGUUGGUCUGUGAGGUCUCACAACCACAAUCGCUCAUUUUGGGAAAAUUUUGAAGGUACGAUUCUGAAGUUUCUGUUGUAAAAACCUAAUUAUGUUGGUGAGAACUUGGGCCUUUAGCCCAAUCAAUUUUGGCCUGCAUGCACACUCCCUCGAUGCUACUGCACCCCAUCCGAAUGGGCUUUGAUAGCCUUUGUUGAGCCCAUUCUCAACUUCUAUGGGCUUAUUCCUUUGUUUUUGGUUACUAGUUAAUAUAGGUUACUUAGCUUAAUU
RNAcentral lists this long non-coding RNA (1252 nucleotides) under Lathyrus oleraceus (garden pea). RNAcentral's name for it is "Pisum sativum (pea) long non-coding RNA (PSAT_LNC016675)". Lineage: Eukaryota; Viridiplantae; Streptophyta; Magnoliopsida; Fabales; Fabaceae. The record is from RNAcentral.